UACGUAGGGGGCAAGCGUUGUCCGGAAUCAUUGGGCGUAAAGAGCGUGUAGGCGGCCAGAAAAGUCCGCUGUGAAAACUCGAGGCUCAACUUCGAGCUGUCGGUGGAAACUUUCUGGCUAGAGUCCGGAAGAGGAGAAUGGAAUUCCUGGUGUAGCGGUGAAAUGCGCAGAUAUCAGGAAGAACACCCGUGGCGAAGGCGGUUCUCUGGGACGGUACUGACGCUGAGACGCGAAAGCGUGGGGAGCGAACAGG
This 253-nucleotide ribosomal RNA is filed under the name uncultured bacterium. Its description in RNAcentral is "partial 16S ribosomal RNA". It matches the Rfam family "Bacterial small subunit ribosomal RNA", at positions 524 to 776 of the family's 1533-position model. RNAcentral also lists the same sequence under 3 other names. The record is from RNAcentral.